Molecule: long non-coding RNA, 217 nt
Filed under: Gallus gallus (chicken)
Lineage: Eukaryota; Metazoa; Chordata; Aves; Galliformes; Phasianidae
Source: RNAcentral
UAAGAAACAAGAAAUUGAUCUAUCCUCCUCUACGACUAGAAAGCUCUACAUCUGCUGAGCAACGUCCCCAUUCAUCAGAACAGUAAUCUGCUGCUACAUUAUCUGGGCCACAAGGGUGCUACGGCAUUGCUGGCUGUCCUACAGGCUUAAUGCAAUCCCAGACAAGUGAAACACUCAUCUGAAUUUCAACAGCCUGUGGACACAUCAAGGAAAGAGC